GAUGAACGCUGGCGGCGUGCCUAAUACAUGCAAGUCGAGCGAACAGACGAGGAGCUUGCUCCUCUGACGUUAGCGGCGGACGGGUGAGUAACACGUGGAUAACCUACCUAUAAGACUGGGAUAACUUCGGGAAACCGGAGCUGAUACCGGAUAAUAUAUUGAACCGCAUGGUUCAAUAGUGAAAGACGGUUUUGCUGUCACUUAUAGAUGGAUCCGCGCCGCAUUAGCUAGUUGGUAAGGUAACGGCUUACCAAGGCAACGAUGCGUAGCCGACCUGAGAGGGUGAUAGGCCACACUGGAACUGAGACACGGUCCAGACUCCUACGGGAGGCAGCAGUAGGGAAUCUUCCGCAAAGGGCGAAAGCCUGACGGAGCAACGCCGCGUGAGUGAUGAAGGUCUUCGGAUCGUAAAACUCUGUUAUUAGGGAAGAACAAAUGUGUAAGUAACUAUGCACGUCUUGACGGUACCUAAUCAGAAAGCCACGGCUAACUACGUG
RNAcentral lists this ribosomal RNA (497 nucleotides) under uncultured bacterium. Its description in RNAcentral is "partial 16S ribosomal RNA". It matches the Rfam family "Bacterial small subunit ribosomal RNA", at positions 28 to 507 of the family's 1533-position model. The record is from RNAcentral.